UACGUAGGAGGCGAGCGUUGUCCGGAUUUACUGGGCGUAAAGGGUGCGCAGGCGGUGGCCCGCGUGGGCGGUGAAAGCUCCUGGCUCAACUGGGAGAGGGCCGUCCAGACGGGGUCACUUGAGGGGCGGAGAGGGGGGUGGAAUUCCACGUGUAGCAGUGAAAUGCGUAGAGAUGUGGAGGAACACCGAUGGCGAAGGCAGCCCCCUGGGUCAACACUGACGCUCAUGCACGAAAGCGUGGGGAGCAAACAGG
RNAcentral lists this ribosomal RNA (253 nucleotides) under uncultured bacterium. RNAcentral describes it as "partial 16S ribosomal RNA". It matches the Rfam family "Bacterial small subunit ribosomal RNA", at positions 524 to 776 of the family's 1533-position model. The record is from RNAcentral.